Gadus morhua (Atlantic cod) is the source of this 422-nucleotide long non-coding RNA. RefSeq lists it as uncharacterized. The record is from RefSeq and is a predicted model, not a curated record. The transcript is spliced from 3 exons. NCBI's taxonomy places the organism in Eukaryota, Metazoa, Chordata, Actinopteri, Gadiformes, Gadidae.
AGUGUUUAACUAUUUAUUUCAACUUCCAGUCGUUGGAUGUGUGACUACAAAAUUAAUGAACGUCUACCUAAUGAAGUUGGACGGUUUUUAACCAAUGGCUUGAGGCGGUGAAGGGCUGGAACACGGGACCCGGCGAUACUACGGCGGUGCGGAGGGAACGGCGGGGGAAACCAUGGAAACGAGAGUCACUGUUGGACCCAUUGGACCCAAUCACGAGACGAAAACAAGCCCCCUCCUUCCUGCCGCACCUGUUUAUGGUUUAUGUUUAUUAAGUAAAUUGCUGGUCUAUAAAGGAGGUCAGUGCGGUUGAUUCAGGGCUUGGCAUCAAACAUGUGGAAUUUCGUUGAGAAGUUCUGUGACGCUUCAGAAACUUGCAAGAAAUCAGCACCUCUUAAAAAUGCUUGGAUCAACAUUAAUUGGGG